AGAGUUUGAUCCUGGCUCAGGACGAACGCUGGCGGCGUGCCUAAUACAUGCAAGUCGUGCGGACCUUUUAAAAGCUUGCUUUUAAAAGGUUAGCGGCGGACGGGUGAGUAACACGUGGGCAACCUGCCUGUAAGACUGGGAUAACGCCGGGAAACCGGGGCUAAUACCGGAUCGUUUUUUCCUCCGCAUGGAGGAAAAAGGAAAGGCGGCUUCGGCUGCCACUUACAGAUGGGCCCGCGGCGCAUUAGCUAGUUGGCGGGGUAACGGCCCACCAAGGCAACGAUGCGUAGCCGACCUGAGAGGGUGAUCGGCCACAUUGGGACUGAGACACGGCCCAAACUCCUACGGGAGGCAGCAGUAGGGAAUCUCCCGCAAUGGACGAAAGUCUGACGGAGCAACGCCGCGUGAGUGAAGAAGGCCUUCGGGUCGUAAAACUCUGUUGCCGGGGAAGAACAAGUGCCGUUCGAACCAGGGCGGCGCCUGACGGUACCCGGCCAGAAG
RNAcentral lists this ribosomal RNA (501 nucleotides) under uncultured bacterium. RNAcentral's name for it is "bacterial SSU rRNA". It matches the Rfam family "Bacterial small subunit ribosomal RNA", at positions 8 to 489 of the family's 1533-position model. The record is from RNAcentral.